CAAUAGCGUAUAUUUAAGUUGUUGCAGUUAAAAAGCUCGUAGUUGGAUUUUGGGUCGGGGGCACCGGUCCGCCGUUCCGGUGUGCACUGGUGGCCCCUUCCUUUCUGCCGGGGACGUGCGUCGCACUUAAUUGGGUGGCGUUCGGAGUCGGCGUUGUUACUUUGAAAAAAUUAGAGUGUUCAAAGCAAGCCAUCGCUCUGAAUACAUUAGCAUGGAAUAACAUGAUAGGACUCCGGUCUUAUUUUGUUGGUUUCCGAGACUGGAGUAAUGAUUAAGAGGGACAGUCGGGGGCAUCCGUAUUUCAUUGUCAGAGGUGAAAUUCAUGGAUUUAUGAAAGACGAACUUCUGCGAAAGCAUUUGCCAAGGAUGUUUUCAUUAA
Molecule: ribosomal RNA, 379 nt
Filed under: uncultured eukaryote
Lineage: Eukaryota
Description: partial 18S ribosomal RNA
Rfam family: Eukaryotic small subunit ribosomal RNA
Source: RNAcentral